CUCGUCUAAACUCUGUGGGGGAAAUGGGACGAUCCAGAGCCUUCGGUUUCUUCUUCUGGCUGUUUGAAUCUUGUGGGGGUUUCCCUCUUCUCUCCCCUCCCCCUUGCCACCAGGGUCCCAUCAACAGGUAUCUUAGCAUGACAAUGGGGAAAGUUCCACAAAGGGAAAAGGGAAAGAACCAACCCCCAACACCUGGAUAUGGAACAAUACAGCCACCAGGCUCAGUCUUCACCCCAGUUAUACCAGUGCCAAAGUGCUGGAUCCAUCCCACUCACACGGUUUAACAGGAUGGGAAUUAAUAUUUUCAUCUCUAUUUUUCUUUUCAGUCCCUGGAGGAUAGUGGAUGACUGUGGAGGGGCCUUCACCAUGGGGGCCAUAGGAGGGGGCAUUUUCCAGGCUAUCAAAGGCUUCCGAAAUUCCCCAGUGGGUGUAAACCACCGUCUGCGGGGCAGUCUGACAGCCAUUAAAACCAGAGCUCCACAACUGGGAGGGAGCUUUGCUGUCUGGGGAGGUCUCUUCUCCAUGAUUGACUGUAGUAUGGUCAGAAUGAGAGGGAAGGAAGAUCCCUGGAAUUCCAUCACGAGCGGAGCCCUGACUGGAGCCAUUUUAGCUGCAAGAAAUGGCCCUGUUGCCAUGGUCGGAUCUGCCGCGAUGGGAGGAAUUCUCCUGGCCCUGAUUGAAGGAGCUGGAAUUCUCCUGACAAGAUUUGCCUCCACACAGUUCCCAAAUGUUCCUGAGGCUGUGGAAAGCCAAGGAGGACCUGCAGCUACAAGUGCUGAUGACACGAGAUUAUCACUAGCUGCUUUCCACUGGGAGACUGGAGGUGGCAUGGCUGAGAGCAGGGAUGUCCCUGCUGUCCCUGGCUUCUGCCAUGCACCUGGCACAUGGUGAUAGAAGGGUUUUACUCAGGGGUGGGACACAAUGGUUUGAGGAAAUGGCAGGCGGCAAGUCGUGGAAGAGAGGAGUGGUUCUGGCUGGCUGUGGUCUGCGUGGGGAACCCCGGGGUAAAUAAGAGGAUGUACACCUGGCAGGGACAGAUAUAUGAUUUCCAAAAAAGGUGGUGGUGAUUCUCUUCUAAACUGCUCUAAUAUCUGCAUCUCUUUUUAUUUUCCUAAGUAAAAUGCAAGCAGAGCUCUCGCUGAGUCAGAAACUGUUGCGUGAAUGCUUCCUGUGGAAAAUCCUAAAUACCCCUGUCACAGAAUCUGAGACUGGUAUGGGGUGGCAGGGACCUCAAAGCCCAUCUCAUUCUACCUCCUGCCCAUGGCAGGGACACCUUCCACUGUCCCAGGUUGCUCCAAGCCCCAUCCAACCUGGCCUUGGACACUUCCAGGGAUGGGGCAGCCACAGUUUCUCUUGGGCAGCCUGUGUGAGGGCCUCACCACUUUCACAGGGAAGAAUUCUGUCCCAGUAUUCCAUCUAACACUGCCCUCUGUCAGUUGGAAGCCAUUCCCCCUUUUCCUGUGACUCUUGGCCCCUCUCCCAGGUCUGUUUCCAGCUCUCUUGGUGCCCAUUUAUGCACUGGAAGGGGCUAUAAAGUUUCCACAGAGCCUUCUGCUCUCCAGGCUUAACUCUUCCAGCCUUUCCUCAUAGGAGAGGCUCCACCUGAUUUUGGGAAGAACACAAAUCAUUAAGAGUUAGAUGAGUAGCAGUCACUUAUUCCCAAGGGACUCCUCUCCUGGGUUUGUUCUCCAAUAUUCUUCAUCCAACCUAAACUAUGACAAUUUCUGUUCCUUAAAGAUGCUUGAAAAUUAAUCUGCCUUGGAGAAAGUGUAUCAUCUGUCCCUGACAAUUCUCUCUGGAUUGGCCCACCAUAGCUGUGUUGAUCCCUCCAGUAGCAGGCAGUGGAACAGGAAGCUGACUACACAUUUGUUCCAUUUCACUGGUUGCUUUAUUGUUGGGCAAGUCACCAUAGUUAAACCUUUCCAGAGGGGCCAAGGUCACCUCAAAGGCACUAUGUGCAAGUUUCCAGCUCUUUUAGAUGAUUGGAAAGGUUUCCCUCUCCCUGCUAUGGUCCAUUUCCCUGUUAGAAAACCUUGCCUAGUACAAGGUGUCCCUGCCCAUGGCAAAGGGUGGAGCAAGAUAAGCUUUAAGUUCCCUUCCAACCCACAUCACUCCACAAUUCCAUAAUUUUUUGAAACUUGGAGAGAAGUGGUUUGUCUUUGGAGCACCUUGCACAGCAUACUUUUCCUAUUAGAGCUGAAGAGGGGCUUUGGACAAGGUCCUGGAGCAACAGGAUAAGGGGGAAUGGCUUCUCACUGCUAGAAGGCAGGGUGAGAUGGGAUAUUAGGAAAAAAUUCUUCCCUUUGAGGAUGAUGAGGCCCUGGCCUGGGCUGCCCAGAGAAACUGUGGCUGCCUCAUUCCUGGCAGUGUCCAUGGCCAGGUUGGACAGGGCUUGGAGCAGCCUGGACUAGAGGAAGAUGUCUGUGCCCAUGGCAGGAGGUAGAAUUGGGCCCACAGAUGUCAGAGGAUCCAUCCCAGCUCCAGCCAUCCCCGUUCAGCGACUACAGACAGUACCAGUGAUGAUCCCCUGCAGCCUCCUCCUUCUUCUCCUCUUUCUCUUCCUCUUCCCUGUUCCUGAGUGGUCCCACCU
RNA transcript from Cinclus cinclus, 2590 nucleotides. It is a transcript of the gene named translocase of inner mitochondrial membrane 17A, with no coding region annotated. The transcript is spliced from 6 exons. The record is from RefSeq and is a predicted model, not a curated record. NCBI's taxonomy places the organism in Eukaryota, Metazoa, Chordata, Aves, Passeriformes, Cinclidae.